Molecule: RNA transcript, 2163 nt
Organism: Triticum aestivum (bread wheat)
Lineage: Eukaryota; Viridiplantae; Streptophyta; Magnoliopsida; Poales; Poaceae
Gene name: protein TPX2
Exons: 14
Source: RefSeq, a predicted model, not a curated record
CUGCCCCCUGCUCCGCCUCCUCCGUGCUCCGACCCCGCAUUUCAAAUUUCCUCAACAGCCUUCCCCUUCCUUCCUCCUCCGCUCCGCCUGCGCCCCAGCCGAACAAGCACCUCGCCGCCCGCCGCCCGCCGCCCGCCGACCGCGGGCUCGGAUCCGGCCCGCCCCUCCCCGCGCCGUCGCGGCCCCCCGACCGAGCGCGCCAUGGACAGCGACGACGAGGAGAUGCGCGACGCCUCCUCCUCCUCCUGCUCCGCCGCCGCCGACGACGACGGCGCGGGGUUCGAGGAGGUGGAGGACGAAGAGAAGGACGGGGUGAUGGUGAUGGAGGUCCGGUGGUUCGAGGUGGACCUCGACUACGAGUACGACGCGCCGCGCUGGUUCGACCUCGCGCAGGCCGAGGCCCCCGCCGAGGCCGCCGCCGCCGAGCUCUGGUUCGCCACCGCCCCCAGCUACCCGCCCUCCCCGUUGAUUGCAAUGAUGUUGGCUGAAGACCUUGGGCUGCCAAACCUAAGAAGCAUCACAGUUGCAGAUAUAGAGGCUGUGCGUUGCCCUAAACCAUCUCAACGUUGUUCUGGUGCAACUGAACAAAGUAUAUAUCGAUCACAUGUACCAAAUGAAGGACGGAUACCGAGCUAUGGAGCAUCAAAACAUGAACGAAAACCUGUCACUCGAAGUGCUGUGAAGGGGAGUUUAUCCAAGGGGUCCACACUGAUGAAGCCUACAGCCAGUCAAUUGGCCAGGCAACACAAGCAACUUGAAGUGAAGAAUGUUGUACCUAGUAAAAAAUCAGUUGGAGUGAGAAGUGACAGAAGUACCAUUAGCUCAAAUGAUUGCACUCAACAAGCUGGUAAAAGGCAGAAACUUGAAAAAGGUCAUCUCAACAAGGAUGUUGCUACAAAUCAACAUGAGUUGAUUCACAAGGCCCAUGAAAAGAAUGUUAUGAGCAGUAGCUAUGAUCGUGCCACCGUUCUACCUAAAUUGAAGAUUACAGUUCCGAGAGAACCUGAGUUGGCUACUAAGCUGAGAGCAGAGAGGUCAAGGAUUCAAAGAUUAGUCCCAAGUAAUUCAAAGCAGUUAGACAGACGGGAUCCUGCUUGUACGACCCAAUCGGCACCGACUAGAAAGGUCGUGCAACCUUUUCGGGCUCAUCAGCAUGCAAAUAUACAACAUGUCAAUGUUGCACCAAAAACGCCAGUGUGUUCAUCUAACCGUGCAACUAGUCUUCACAACAUUGAUAAAACAUCAGAAGAUGACCGAGAUGGCACGACGGGCACGUUUAAAUUUAAAGCUCUGCCACUGGAUAAAAAGAUAUUGGCAAGCAGAGGAGACAUCGGUGUAUUUCAAACUGCCAAAAGAAAUCCUACAGUGCCUAAGGAAUUCAACUUGUCAACAAGCCGGAAGAGCAAGCAGCCUCCAUUAUCCGAACUCUUUAACAAAGUAUGUACUGAUAGAACAAAAAUGGAUCACCUUCAAAUUACCUCACUGUUCACUCUGAUAUCGACGCAUGUUCUGGCAGCUUUCUUUAAGUACCGAAGCCUGCCGUACCAUGGGCCACCAGACCAGUGAACGCCCAAAUUAUAUCACUACCAAGGACUGCAAAGAGAACAUGAUUGGUGCCAUUCAUUGCUAGCUCUAGUAAGCGGUAUCUUUAACUACCUGGUAAGACCGACUUUAGUCAGGAAAAAUAUCAUACAGUUCUCUUUGACAGCCUGCACAAAGGUUAAAGCGUCUAAUUUUGGAGAGUAGGGUUCCGACUCUUUAAGUCUAACAAGAUGGAUGAAGCGAAACAUUAUUCGCCGUUAAGCUGCCCUCCCCGGCGAUCUCCGGCAUCGGCCAGUUUUCAGCAGCUGCUCCCAGAGACCAGCCCGAUUUGCCCCGUUCUCGGCCUCUGUCGCACGGCUUAACGUAGCUCCUUGGCUGCUCGUCGCCGUCCCGGAGAUCGUCGAACCCUUUUUGUACAGCUAGAGAAGCAAAACAACCCAGUCAGCCAUAGCUCGUAUUGUUGGGGAGAGCGACUUGCCUUACCUGACCUGACCUGACCUGGUGCGCCUGGUGGUGGGCUCUGAAGUUGUAACGACGACACCACCGGUUCAAAGCAUCUGGCAAAGUUGUUCGCUUGCUGUGUGGCAUUGAUCCCCCAGUUUUCUUGUGUGCCCUGCGAAA